RNAcentral lists this ribosomal RNA (495 nucleotides) under uncultured bacterium. Its description in RNAcentral is "partial 16S ribosomal RNA". It matches the Rfam family "Bacterial small subunit ribosomal RNA", at positions 28 to 507 of the family's 1533-position model. The record is from RNAcentral.
GACGAACGCUGGCGGCGUGCCUAAUACAUGCCAGUAGAACGCUGAAGGAGGAGCUUGCUUCUCUGGAUGAGUUGCGAACGGGUGAGUAACGCGUAGGUAACCUGCCUGGUAGCGGGGGAUAACUAUUGGAAACGAUAGCUAAUACCGCAUAAGAGUAGAUGUUGCAUGACAUUUGCUUAAAAGGUGCAAUUGCAUCACUACCAGAUGGACCUGCGUUGUAUUAGCUAGUUGGUGGGGUAACGGCUCACCAAGGCGACGAUACAUAGCCGACCUGAGAGGGUGAUCGGCCACACUGGGACUGAGACACGGCCCAGACUCCUACGGGAGGCAGCAGGAGGGAAUCUUCGGCAAUGGACGGAAGUCUGACCGAGCAACGCCGCGUGAGUGAAGAAGGGUUUCGGAUCGUAAAGCUCUGUUGUAAGAGAAGAACGAGUGUGAGAGUGGAAAGUUCACACUGUGACGGUAUCUUACCAGAAAGGGACGGCUAACUACGUG